UGGGGAAUAUUGCACAAUGGAGGGAACUCUGAUGCAGCGACGCCGCGUGAACGAAGAAGGCUGUCGAGUCGUAAAGUUCUUUUAUAUGGGAAGAUAAUGACGGUACCAUAAGAAAAAGUCACGGCCAACUACGUGCCAGCAGCCGCGGUAAUACGUAGGGGGCUAGCGUUGUCUGGAAUCACUGGGCGUAAAGGGUUCGCAGGCGGAAAUGUAAGUCAGAUGUAAAAGGCAGUAGCUUAACUACUGUAAGCAUUUGAAACUGCAUAUCUUGAGAAGAGUAGAGGUAAGUGGAAUUUUUAGUGUAGCGGUGAAUUGCGUAGUUAUUAAAAAGAAUACCGGUGGCAAAGGAGACUUACUGGGCUCUUUCUGACGCUGAGGAACGAAAGCGUGGGUAGCAAACAGG
RNAcentral lists this ribosomal RNA (403 nucleotides) under Fusobacteriota bacterium. RNAcentral's name for it is "Fusobacteria bacterium partial 16S ribosomal RNA". It matches the Rfam family "Bacterial small subunit ribosomal RNA", at positions 355 to 776 of the family's 1533-position model. Lineage: Bacteria; Fusobacteriati; Fusobacteriota. The record is from RNAcentral.